Dermochelys coriacea (leatherback sea turtle) is the source of this 2388-nucleotide long non-coding RNA. RefSeq lists it as uncharacterized. The record is from RefSeq and is a predicted model, not a curated record. The transcript has 4 exons. NCBI's taxonomy places the organism in Eukaryota, Metazoa, Chordata, Testudines, Dermochelyidae.
GCCACAUGGGCCUAGCACACAGGUUGGAAGCGAUAUGCCACUGGCCUGAGUAUGUUCCCAAUAGCUAUCAGGUGGGCUGUAAGCAUGAAUUGUCCACUAAAUAGGAUGCACAGGUGUUUCAUGUGAGCACUAAUACAGCCAGAGCAGAGGGGAAGUGGCUUCUAAGAGCAAGUGCAUUGCAAACUCUCAGCUUGGAUCUUCAGCCUUUUCCAUAUAGGCCUGGAUGGAUGAUCUGGGAAGAAGAGCAGGACGCAUGCUGUGGCUUGAACUCCCUGCAACCGUUCCACAGGGAUCUGGGUCUGCUUUACAUUUGCAGGAGAAACGGAAGAUGGGAAGGCUGGAGGACCACCAAUCAGAGGGCAGGACUGUGUGAGAGAUGCCUAACUGAAUGAUCCUGGCAGUUCUUGGAAUCUACCUCAAAAAAGUCAGUCACUGGAUUCCAAAGCUGCAAUAGCUUCUGUGUGUUGAGUCGAGUUUCUGAAACUUCAUAUCCUUCCUAACUGUCUGGAAAGAAAUCGCUAUAUUAGACAAACUCUGGUUCUGAGGAAAUGAACACAUAGAGCUUCAGCUACCCUGCUGGCAUGUGGUAUAAAUACUUAAUUUGUGUUACAGUAUGUGAUAAUAUAUAUGAUCCGAUUUAAUCACCUGGACUAGCCAAGGAUCCAGGCCUAGCAAACACAACUUAGAAACCAUUAAAUCACAUAGAAUUCAUUCAUACUUUAAAAUAAGCUUUAUUUUUUUUAAUAUUUUUAUAUUUGCAUCCAUGCCUUCAAGGACUCUUCCGCACUCACAUGGGAAAAGUUAAAUCUAAUGUUACCCAUAAUUCAUAUGCUAUUAAUUGUAGUUUUCUUUUAAAUAAAUCAUCCUCUUAGUAACUUUUUUAGAUUAUUUCCUAAUUUAGAAAAACUGAAAUGAAAAGGAAACGUCUAAAAUAACCAGGAGUUUUGCUUGCUUGUUUUUAAAUUAUAAAAACACAAGAGGGGGAAAAUGUAUAAAGAUGGUCCUCUGCAGAGAAGGAUGCCACAGGGUUGUUCUCCCGCACCCUGGUUUGGGACAGAUCCCCAUUGCAAAGCAGUGCAGGUAUUUAAAGCUGCUUUCCCUAACCCCCUGUGGUUUCUCCAGAUCAUUCUGUUAGAAGAAAAUAUAACAUGGGGGUAUUUUGUGUUUUAGUGUCAUAAUUAAAGACCAAAUAUCCCUUUCAAACAGGGUGCACAUAUUGGAAUUAAAAAAAUACACAAAAUUUUAUUAAAUAAUCUUAAAGUUAAGAGCGUAAAAUUGUAUUGUAAGCAUUAAAGCACGACACACUGUAGUUUGUAGUAACCAGAUAGCCGUGCACGUUAGUGAAAAGAGAAAAAAAAAUCACAGAUUUUGAAGAGAGCCUAAUGGAUUUAGGAGCCCAAGUCCCCAGUAAAAAGAGUGGGCUUUGUGCUUCUAAAUCUUUUAGGUACACUGGCAAAAGUCUCUGCCCCCCCAAUAAACUAGAAUUUAGAAGAGAACAAACAGACAUGGUUUCAGAAGCAACUACAUCAAAUUACCAGAUCUUUCCAAAAUGCACAUUUGUUUGCCUGUGAAGUAGAGUUAGAAGGAAACAAUGCCCCACACUAAGGGUUGAAGAGAUGCAACUGCCAGCUUUGCUUACCUGGGGGCACCAACGCUAUUAGACUGCUCCACUGUGGGGUGAAUGACAGGAGUAGCCCAGACCCAGACCAGUUUUCUUACAGACAAAAUAAAUAUUCCUGGCCUGAGUUAACAGCAUUAGAUACAGAACGGUUUUCCAGGGUUCCAUGAGUGUCUGAUCGAACGCUGUAUCCUUAUAUUUAGUCAGUCAGACUCACUCCCAACUUUACUCUGGAGUCUCUUAGGAUCCCAUUCAACAAAGCACAACUUUAAGCAGGUGUUUAAAUCACACUGAAGUCAAUGGGACUUAAGUAUUUUCCUGCAAAGAGAUGGAUUGCUGAAUCAGGGCCUUGGUUCCUUAAGACACGCUUUAUCCCCCUUUCUUAUUAAUAACCCAAAUGAAUCCAGUAAAUAGGAAAAGCCUCAGACAUGAGGCAAAAACUAACUAUGUUUCUGUGGACAGAAAAUACAAUCAAAGCAAAGGUCCGUGCUUCCUUCCAAACCCAUACAGUACUGAAAAGGCCGGUCUGCUUUGCAGUCUAACAUUUUCCUCCACAUUAUUCCAUAAUAAAUAUCUCUGUUGCUCUUUUCCAAUAUGUUGAGCAUUGUUGUUUUUUUUUUUAUAGUUUUAGAUAAAGACAUCUGAAAAUCUCUGACCUGGUUAUACUACCUAUAUAGCAAUCUGGCUCCCCGAUCCUGCUGUCUGGAUUGACUGCAGGAUAGGGGAAAGUACACAAUGUUAGCACGAGAGACAGAGAAAUGCAACAGAAA